GUCCCUGUAGCGCAAUGGUUAGCGCGUUGGAAUUCUAAUCCAAAGAUCGCGGGUUCGAAUCCUAUCUGGGAUG
This 73-nucleotide transfer RNA is filed under the name Trichonephila clavata. It matches the Rfam family "tRNA". From Rfam's summary of the family: Transfer RNA (tRNA) molecules are approximately 80 nucleotides in length. Their secondary structure includes four short double-helical elements and three loops (D, anti-codon, and T loops). Further hydrogen bonds mediate the characteristic L-shaped molecular structure. tRNAs have two regions of fundamental functional importance: the anti-codon, which is responsible for specific mRNA codon recognition, and the 3' end, to which the tRNAs corresponding amino acid is attached (by aminoacyl-tRNA synthetases). tRNAs cope with the degeneracy of the genetic code in two manners: having more than one tRNA (with a specific anti-codon) for a particular amino acid; and 'wobble' base-pairing, i.e. permitting non-standard base-pairing at the 3rd anti-codon position. The record is from Rfam by way of RNAcentral. Lineage: Eukaryota; Metazoa; Arthropoda; Arachnida; Araneae; Nephilidae.